Molecule: ribosomal RNA, 494 nt
Filed under: uncultured bacterium
Lineage: Bacteria
Description: bacterial SSU rRNA
Rfam family: Bacterial small subunit ribosomal RNA
Source: RNAcentral
GGAGCGACGAACCGGGCUUCGGCCCGGGGCAAAGUCGCGAACGGGUGAGUAACACGUGGGUAACCUGCCUCGAUGAUCGGGACAACCCGGGGAAACCCGAGCUAAUACCGAAUGUGCUCCGACCACAUCAGUGGACGGUGUAAAGGAAGCUUCGGCCUCCGCUUCGAGAUGGGCCCGCGGCCCAUUAGCUUGUUGGUGGGGUAAAGGCCUACCAAGGCUUCGAUGGGUAGCUGGUCUGAGAGGACGAUCAGCCACACUGGGACUGAGACACGGCCCAGACUCCUACGGGAGGCAGCAGUGGGGAAUCUUGCGCAAUGCGCGAAAGCGUGACGCAGCAACGCCGCGUGAGGGAAGAAGGCCUUAGGGUUGUAAACCUCUUUCAGGAGGGACGAAGGUCGGCACGUUAAUAGCGUGUCCGACCGACGGUACCUCCAGAAGAAGCCCCGGCUAACUACGUGCCAGCAGCCGCGGUAAUACGUAGGGGGCAAGCGUUG